This 512-nucleotide ribosomal RNA is filed under the name uncultured Bacteroidota bacterium. RNAcentral describes it as "bacterial SSU rRNA". It matches the Rfam family "Bacterial small subunit ribosomal RNA", at positions 77 to 588 of the family's 1533-position model. The record is from RNAcentral. Lineage: Bacteria; Pseudomonadati; Bacteroidota.
AUAUUAAUAAGGCUAGACCGGCGCACGGGUGCGUAACACGUAUGCAACCUACCUUAUACUGGGGAAUAACUUCGAGAAAUCGGCGCUAAUACCCCAUAACAUUGCGAAAUGGCAUCAUUUUGCAAUUAAAGCUCCGGCGGUAUAAGAUGGGCAUGCGUCCAAUUAGCUAGUUGGUGAGGUAACUGCUCACCAAGGCUACGAUUGGUAGGGGUUCUGAGAGGAUGAUCCCCCACACUGGUACUGAGACACGGACCAGACUCCUACGGGAGGCAGCAGUGAGGAAUAUUGCGCAAUGGACGAAAGUCUGACGCAGCCAUGCCGCGUGCAGGAUGACGGCCCUAUGGGUUGUAAACUGCUUUUGUAUGGGAAUAAACCCUUCUACGUGUAGAAGGCUGAAGGUACCAUAAGAAUAAGCACCGGCUAACUCCGUGCCAGCAGCCGCGGUAAUACGGAGGGUGCAAGCGUUAUCCGGAUUUAUUGGGUUUAAAGGGUCCGUAGGCGGGCCGAUAAGU